RNAcentral lists this transfer RNA (64 nucleotides) under Scaphoideus maai. Its description in RNAcentral is "tRNA-Tyr". Lineage: Eukaryota; Metazoa; Arthropoda; Insecta; Hemiptera; Cicadellidae. The record is from RNAcentral.
AUUAAGGUGGCCGAUAUUUAGGUGAUAAACUGUAAAUUUAUUAAAGAGUAAUUCUCUCUUAAUA